UGGGGAAUAUUGCACAAUGGGCGAAAGCCUGAUGCAGCGACGCCGCGUGAGGGAUGACGGCCUUCGGGUUGUAAACCUCUUUCAGCAGGGACGAAGCGCAAGUGACGGUACCUGCAGAAGAAGCACCGGCUAACUACGUGCCAGCAGCCGCGGUAAUACGUAGGGUGCAAGCGUUGUCCGGAAUUACUGGGCGUAAAGAGUUCGUAGGCGGUUUGUCGCGUCGGUUGUGAAAACCAGCAGCUCAACUGCUGGCUUGCAGGCGAUACGGGCAGACUUGAGUACUGCAGGGGAGACUGGAAUUCCUGGUGUAGCGGUGAAAUGCGCAGAUAUCAGGAGGAACACCGGUGGCGAAGGCGGGUCUCUGGGCAGUAACUGACGCUGAGGAACGAAAGCGUGGGUAGCGAACAGG
RNAcentral lists this ribosomal RNA (409 nucleotides) under bacterium. Its description in RNAcentral is "partial 16S ribosomal RNA". It matches the Rfam family "Bacterial small subunit ribosomal RNA", at positions 355 to 776 of the family's 1533-position model. The record is from RNAcentral.